GGGCCCGCACAAGCGGUGGAGUAUGUGGUUUAAUUCGAUGCAACGCGAAGAACCUUACCAGGGUUUGACAUCCUGCGAAUCUCUUGGAAACGAGAGAGUGCCUUCGGGAACGCAGUGACAGGUGGUGCAUGGCUGUCGUCAGCUCGUGUCGUGAGAUGUUGGGUUAAGUCCCGCAACGAGCGCAACCCACGUCUUUAGUUGCCAGCAUUUAGUUGGGCACUCUAGAGAGACUGCCGGUGAUAAGCUGGAGGAAGGCGGGGAUGACGUCAAGUCCUCAUGGCCCUUACGGUCUGGGCUACACACGUGCUACAAUGGUGGUGACAGUGGGCAGCAAUACUGCAAAGUAAAGCUAAAUCCCAAAAAACCAUCUCAGUUCGGAUUGGACUCUGCAACUCGAGUCCAUGAAGUUGGAAUCGCUAGUAAUCGUAGAUC
RNAcentral lists this ribosomal RNA (432 nucleotides) under uncultured bacterium. RNAcentral's name for it is "bacterial SSU rRNA". It matches the Rfam family "Bacterial small subunit ribosomal RNA", at positions 917 to 1350 of the family's 1533-position model. The record is from RNAcentral.